GCCUCGUGAACUCAUCUUCGGGGGUAGAGCACUGUUUCGGCUAGGGGGCCAUCCCGGCUUACCAACCCGAUGCAAACUACGAAUACCGAAGAAUGUUAUCACGGGAGACACACGGCGGGUGCUAACGUCCGUCGUGAAGAGGGAAACAACCCAGACCGCCAGCUAAGGUCCCAAAGUCAUGGUUAAGUGGGAAACGAUGUGGGAAGGCACAGACAGCCAGGAUGUUGGCUUAGAAGCAGCCAUCAUUUAAAGAAAGCGUAAUAGCUCACUGGUCGAGUCGGCCUGCGCGGAAGAUGUAACGGGGCUAAACCAUGCACCGAAGCUGCGGCAGCGACACUAUGUGUUGUUGGGUAGGGGAGCGUUCUGUAAGCCGUUGAAGGUGUGCUGUGAGGCAUGCUGGAGGUAUCAGAAGUGCGAAUGCUGACAUAAGUAACGAUAAAGCGGGUGAAAAGCCCGCUCGCCGGAAGACCAAGGGUUCCUGUCCAACGUUAAUCGGGGCAGGGUGAGUCGACCCCUAAGGCGAGGCCGAAAGGCGUAGUCGAUGGGAAACAGGUUAAUAUUCCUGUACUUGGUGUUACUGCGAAGGGGGGACGGAGAAGGCUAUGUCAGCCGGGCGACGGUUGUCCCGGUUUAAGCAUGUAGGCGGAGGUUCCAGGUAAAUCCGGUACCUUAUUAACGCUGAGGUGUGAUGACGAGGCACUACGGUGCUGAAGUGAUAAAUGCCCUGCUUCCAGGAAAAGCCUCUAAGCAUCAGGUAACACGAAAUCGUACCCCAAACCGACACAGGUGGUCAGGUAGAGAAUACCAAGGCGCUUGAGAGAACUCGGGUGAAGGAACUAGGCAAAAUGGUGCCGUAACUUCGGGAGAAGGCACGCUGAUAUGUAGGUGAAGUCCCUGCGGGCGGAGCUGAAAUCAGUCGAAGAUACCAGCUGGCUGCAACUGUUUAUUAAAAACACAGCACUGUGCAAACACGAAAGUGGACGUAUACGGUGUGACGCCUGCCCGGUGCCGGAAGGUUAAUUGAUGGGGUUAGCGGCAACGCGAAGCUCUUGAUCGAAGCCCCGGUAAACGGCGGCCGUAACUAUAACGGUCCUAAGGUAGCGAAAUUCCUUGUCGGGUAAGUUCCGACCUGCACGAAUGGCGUAAUGAUGGCCAGGCUGUCUCCACCCGAGACUCAGUGAAAUUGAACUCGCUGUGAAGAUGCAGUGUACCCGCGGCAAGACGGAAAGACCCCGUGAACCUUUACUAUAGCUUGACACUGAACACUGGUCCUUGAUGUGUAGGAUAGGUGGGAGGCUUUGAAGCGUGGACGCCAGUCUGCGUGGAGCCAUCCUUGAAAUACCACCCUUUAAUGGCUGGUGUUCUAACGUAGACCCGUUAUCCGGGUUGCGGACAGUGUCUGGUGGGUAGUUUGACUGGGGCGGUCUCCUCCCAAAGAGUAACGGAGGAGCACGAAGGUUGGCUAAUCCUGGUCGGACAUCAGGAGGUUAGUGCAAUGGCAUAAGCCAGCUUGACUGCGAGCGUGACGGCGCGAGCAGGUGCGAAAGCAGGUCAUAGUGAUCCGGUG
Molecule: ribosomal RNA, 1567 nt
Filed under: Enterobacter hormaechei subsp. xiangfangensis
Lineage: Bacteria; Pseudomonadati; Pseudomonadota; Gammaproteobacteria; Enterobacterales; Enterobacteriaceae
Description: partial 23S ribosomal RNA
Rfam family: Bacterial large subunit ribosomal RNA
Source: RNAcentral